AUUGAACGCUGGCGGCAGGCCUAACACAUGCAAGUCGAGCGGGGUUUUCGGACCUAGCGGCGGACGGGUGAGUAAUGCGUAGGAAGCUGCCCGAUAGAGGGGGAUACCAGUUGGAAACGACUGUUAAUACCGCAUAAUGUCUACGGACCAAAGUGUGGGACCUUCGGGCCACAUGCUAUCGGAUGCGCCUACGUGGGAUUAGCUAGUUGGUGAGGUAACGGCUCACCAAGGCGACGAUCUCUAGCUGGUUUGAGAGGAUGAUCAGCCACACUGGAACUGAGACACGGUCCAGACUCCUACGGGAGGCAGCAGUGGGGAAUAUUGGACAAUGGGCGCAAGCCUGAUCCAGCCAUGCCGCGUGUGUGAAGAAGGCCUUCGGGUUGUAAAGCACUUUCAGCGAGGAGGAAGGGUGGUGUGUUAAUAGCACAUCAUUUUGACGUUACUCGCAGAAGAAGCACCGGCUAACUCUGUGCCAGCAGCCGCUGUAA
This 488-nucleotide ribosomal RNA is filed under the name uncultured bacterium. RNAcentral's name for it is "partial 16S ribosomal RNA". It matches the Rfam family "Bacterial small subunit ribosomal RNA", at positions 30 to 523 of the family's 1533-position model. The record is from RNAcentral.